CGCCGGUGGACAUUCCCAGGGCCGCGCACCUGUCCGGCGGGCGCGCUGGCCUGGACGACGACGAGGAGGAGGAGGAGGACGGCGCCAUGGUGCCGCCGCACCUGAUGGUGUCGCGCAGGUGGUCGGAGGGGAAGGCGGCGGCGGCCUUCUCGCUGCGGUCCGGGCCCGGGCGCGCGCACCGGGACCUCAACCACCUGCGCAACUCCGUGCUGCGGAUGACCGGCUUCAUCGAAGGGUGACGGACGAGGCGGACCCGUCAUCUGUGCAUAUGUGCGAGAAAAGUCAGUCACCA
This 292-nucleotide long non-coding RNA is filed under the name Triticum aestivum (bread wheat). RNAcentral describes it as "long non-coding RNA (TAES_LNC025923)". Lineage: Eukaryota; Viridiplantae; Streptophyta; Magnoliopsida; Poales; Poaceae. The record is from RNAcentral.